AGAUACAAUGAUAAUCCCUAGAAAUGUUUUCUUGAUUAGAAGGUGGAUGACAGAAGCUAAGCAGGGUCGGACCUGUUUAGUACUUGGAUGGGAAAUCACCUAGGAAGACCAGGUGCUGUAGGCG
RNAcentral lists this ribosomal RNA (124 nucleotides) under Pteropus vampyrus (large flying fox). The record is from RNAcentral. Lineage: Eukaryota; Metazoa; Chordata; Mammalia; Chiroptera; Pteropodidae.